UAGCUUACUAUCUGUAUGCUAGGAAUACUGCUAUACUAGAGGGCGGGAGAGGUCUGAGGUACUACAGGGGUAGGGGUGAAAUCUUAUAAUCCUUGUAGGACCACCAGUGGCGAAGGCGUCAGACUGGAACGCGCCUGACGGUGAGGGACGAAAGCCAGGGGAGCGAACCGGAUUAGAUACCCGGGUAGUCCUGGCCGUAAACGAUGCAUACUAGGUGAUGGUGCGGCCAUGAGCCGUAUCAGUGCCGUAGGGAAACCGUUAAGUGUGCCGCCUGGGAAGUACGGUCGCAAGGCUAAAACUUAAAGGAAUUGGCGGGGGAGCACCACAAGGGGUGAAGCCUGCGGUUCAAUUGGACUCAACGCCGGAAAACUUACCAGGGAAGACAGUAGAAUGAUGGUCAGGUUGACGACCUUACCUAACGAGCUGAGAGGAGGUGCAUGGCCGUCGCCAGUUCGUGCCGUGAGGUAUCCUGUUAAGUCAGGCAACGAACGAGAUCCGCGCCUUUAUUUGCCAUCAAGAAGUCACGACUUCGUUGGGAACACUAAAGGGACCGCCGUCGAUAAGACGGAGGAAGGAGCGGGCAAAGGCAGGUCAGUAUGCCCCGAAAAUCGU
This 612-nucleotide ribosomal RNA is filed under the name uncultured archaeon. RNAcentral describes it as "bacterial SSU rRNA". It matches the Rfam family "Archaeal small subunit ribosomal RNA", at positions 555 to 1166 of the family's 1478-position model. The record is from RNAcentral.